GGAAUAUUGGACAAUGGGGGGAACCCUGAUCCAGCGACGCCUCGUGAGUGAAGAAGUAUUUCGGUAUGUAAAGCCCUAUCAGCAGGGAAGAAAGAAAUGACGGUACCUGACCAAGCAGCCCCGGCUAAUUACGUGCCAGCAGCCGCGGUAAUACGUAGGGGGCAAGCGUUAUCCGGAUUUACUGGGUGUAAAGGGAGCGUAGACGGUAAUGCAAGUCUGGAGUGAAAUGCAGGGGCUCAACCCCUGAACUGCUUUGGAAACUGUGCAGCUCGAGUGCAGGAGAGGUAAGCGGAAUUCCUAGUGUAGCGGUGAAAUGCGUAGAUAUUAGGAGGAACACCAGUGGCGAAGGCGGCUUACUGGACUGUAACUGACGUUGAGGCUCGAAAGCGUGGGGAGCA
RNAcentral lists this ribosomal RNA (398 nucleotides) under uncultured bacterium. RNAcentral describes it as "bacterial SSU rRNA". It matches the Rfam family "Bacterial small subunit ribosomal RNA", at positions 358 to 770 of the family's 1533-position model. The record is from RNAcentral.